UACGUAGGUGACGAGCGUUAUCCGGAAUUACUGGGCGUAAAGCGCACGCAAGCGGUCUGACAAGUCUGGCGUGAAAUCCUCUGGCUUAACCAGGGGCGGUCGCUGGAGACUGUUGGGCUUGAGGCGAUGAGAGGGGUGCAGAAUUCCCGGUGUAGUGGUGGAAUGCGUGGAUAUCGUGAGGAACACUAGUGGCGAAGGCGGAUGUCUGGACAGUAUCUGACGCUGAGGCACGAAGGCCAGGGGAGCGAACGGG
RNAcentral lists this ribosomal RNA (253 nucleotides) under uncultured bacterium. RNAcentral describes it as "partial 16S ribosomal RNA". It matches the Rfam family "Bacterial small subunit ribosomal RNA", at positions 524 to 776 of the family's 1533-position model. The record is from RNAcentral.